Molecule: long non-coding RNA, 827 nt
Organism: Neltuma alba
Lineage: Eukaryota; Viridiplantae; Streptophyta; Magnoliopsida; Fabales; Fabaceae
Exons: 2
Source: RefSeq, a predicted model, not a curated record
AGAGAAACUAGUGGGGCAAGCAGAAAGCAUAUCAAAAUGUCAUUGGUAGAAAGCACCACUGACUGGUGAUUGGAUGCUGUUAACUAGUAGACUCUUACAGAGAUUACAUGAUGUUAAUUGUAGGGGUCACAUAUACUCAGAGUUACUGUUUAUUUAAUUCAUUUUGCCACAUGAUCUUUAUGGAUGCCCAUAAUCUGUUUAGUAACACCAUGACCAGAUAAUCUGACCAAAAAGAUAGCUAAAAUCUGCAAGCUCUUCAUUCAUUAUUAUUGAUUUUCCCUGACAUCACUGACUGCAAAGUCAAGAAAAACAGAAAAGAAACUGCUGUCUCGGUGCUCCUUAUAGUCGAUCAUAAGGAAAUUUCUUCCUUGGUUUUAUAUUUGAAAGGCUACAAGCAAGAUGCUAGUUGGUGAGAAACAAAUCAAGAUGUCCAUGAACGUUUCCUUCUCUUCAGCCCAUGCCAGAAACGGUGACGGUAACCAUUGAAGUGCCAGCCCUUAAGUAUGCCUGAAAUUUGAUGAAGCUUUGGAGGAGGGUACCUCAGAAUUAGACCUGGAUUGCAGUUUAUCUGUUGUAUUGCAAAAACUGUCCAAGAAACAAAGCAGCUGAUACUGGGAAUGUCAAAAUCUGAUGCAUACCUUGUCACUUUAAUUAUUGUAUCACCAUUAAACAAAAGACGCAAUUGUUAAAAUGCUGAGGUCUUGAGGUCUUGGAUUGCCAGCAGGGUUAUUUAUUUGCUUUGUGCGGAUCAUAUUGAUAUAAUAAUCCUGUGUAUUGUGUAUAAUUCUGAGACGAAAACCAUUAAGCUUAUGGUACGUUUUACAACA